AUCGGUGGUGUCCACCUCUUCCCAUUCCGAACAGAGAAGUUAAGCCCACCAGAGCCGAUGGUACUGCGGUAACACGUGGGAGAGUAGGUCGGUGCCAAAU
This 100-nucleotide ribosomal RNA is filed under the name Pedobacter sp. RNAcentral also lists the same sequence under 1 other name. Lineage: Bacteria; Pseudomonadati; Bacteroidota; Sphingobacteriia; Sphingobacteriales; Sphingobacteriaceae. The record is from RNAcentral.